Long non-coding RNA from Pistacia vera, 842 nucleotides. RefSeq lists it as uncharacterized. NCBI's taxonomy places the organism in Eukaryota, Viridiplantae, Streptophyta, Magnoliopsida, Sapindales, Anacardiaceae. The record is from RefSeq and is a predicted model, not a curated record. The transcript has 6 exons.
UAAAAAACAACACGAAGUUUUUCAAUAUACUCUUAACUAUAGGGGGUUUAAAAUUUUAAGUCCUCUUCUAUUAAUUCUCCCCCAAUUAACAAUUUUUUCAAACGAACAAACUAAUCGAAAUCGACCCACAUAAUAUUUUCAAUCAAAUUGUCUGAAUAACAAAGAAAGAAGAAAGCUUUCUGCUAAACAGGUAAGAGAGCAAUUAACUGCGUUUAAUGCAAGAUCUAUAUCUAUAAUGUCACAUUUGGACUUUACAUGUUGGAUUGGUGGGAGUGUUAUCUUUUCAAUAUUUUGGUGAUUGUGCUGAUGUAAUUCAUCUUUUGCAAUAGUUCACGAUAUGUGAUUGAAUUUUCAAAAGUUAUGAUACAUUUGGACUGCAUUCAAAUAUGGCCUCCAAAGCCUUUGGCAGCACGACUGAGACAGUGAUGGGUUCUCUUUUCUUAAUUUGAUCCUGUGGUUCAAGAAGAUAAAGAUCUGUGUCGUGCUUGUCAUGGCACGAAAAUUUUGAAUAUGCUGCAAUGGGUGCCAUUGAUUUGGGUUUAAUUAGGAACAUUUUUUUAUUGUAAAAGCAAUUUUGCAUGUUUUGUAUUGAUUGUAUACCUAGCCAUAAGAAUUUUGUUGUAAUUUACCUACUUCUCCACCUCUUUUUUUUAUUUGUUUAAUUUUUUUUUUUAUAAUACAAUUAUCAUAAGAAUUCUGAAUUUGUUUUGAUUGUUAAAAGCUUUUAGUACAAUCACUUGAUUAGCUUGUUCUUAUACUGUUGAUAGUCUUCCCUCUUUAGAAGGUUAACUCUCAAAGCAUCCUAUGUUGUAAGCUCUAUCUUCAAUGAAGCUUAAGGAGAA